CUCGUGUCGUGAGAUGUUGGGUUAAGUCCCGGCAACGAGCGCAACCCUCGUCCUAUGUUGCCAGCGGGUCAUGCCGGGACUCAUGGGAGACUGCCGGGGUCGAACUCGGAGGAAGGUGGGAUGACGUCAAAUCAUCAUGCCCCUUAUGUCUUGGGCUUCACGCAUGCUACAAUGGCCGGUACAAAGGGCUGCGAUACCGCGAGGUGGAGACGAAUCCCAGAAAGCCGGUCUCAGUUCGGAUUGGGGUCUGCAACUCGACCCCAUGAAGUCGGAGUCGCUAGUAAUCGCAGAUCAGCAACGCUGCGGUGAAUACGUUCCCGGGCCUU
Molecule: ribosomal RNA, 326 nt
Filed under: uncultured Cellulomonas sp.
Lineage: Bacteria; Bacillati; Actinomycetota; Actinomycetes; Micrococcales; Cellulomonadaceae
Description: bacterial SSU rRNA
Rfam family: Bacterial small subunit ribosomal RNA
Source: RNAcentral